This 497-nucleotide ribosomal RNA is filed under the name uncultured bacterium. RNAcentral describes it as "partial 16S ribosomal RNA". It matches the Rfam family "Bacterial small subunit ribosomal RNA", at positions 28 to 507 of the family's 1533-position model. The record is from RNAcentral.
GAUGAACGCUGGCGGCGUGCCUAAUACAUGCAAGUCGAGCGAACAGACGAGGAGCUUGCUCCUCUGACGUUAGCGGCGGACGGGUGAGUCACACGUGGAUAACCUACCUAUAAGAAUGGGAUAACUUCGGGAAACCGGAGCUAAUACCGGAUAAUAUAUUGCACCGCAUUGUUCAAUAGUGAGAGACGGUUUUGCUGUCACUUAUAGAUGGAUCCGCGCCGCAUUAGCUAGUUGGUAAGGUAACGGCUUACCAAGGCUACGAUGCGUAGCCGACCUGAGAGGGUGAUCGGCCACACUGGAACUGAGACACGGUCCAGACUCCUACGGGAGGCAGCAGUAGGGAAUCUUCCGCAAUGGGCGAAAGCCUGACGGAGCAACGCCGCGUGAGUGAUGAAGGUCUUCGGAUCGUAAAACUCUGUUAUUAGGGAAGAACAAAUGUGUAAGUAACUAUGCACGUCUUGACGGUACCGAAUCAGAAAGCCACGGCUAACUACGUG